ACUAGAGUGAGAUAGAGGCAAGCGGAAUUCCAUGUGUAGCGGUAAAAUGCGUAAAUAUAUGGAGGAACACCAGAGGCGUAGGCGGCUUGCUGGGUCUUUACUGACGCUGAGGCACGAAAGCGUGGGGAGCAAACAGGAUUAGAUACCCUGGUAGUCCACGCCGUAAACGAUGAGUACUAAGUGUCGGGUAAAACUGGUACUGAAGUUAACACAUUAAGUACUCCGCCUGAGUAGUACGUACGCAAGUAUGAAACUUAAAGGAAUUGACGGGACUCCGCACAAGCGGUGGAUCAUGUUGUUUAAUUCGAAGAUACACGAAAAACCUUACCAGGUCUUGACAUUUUCUUGCGAAGUUAUAGAAAUAUAAUGGAGGUUAUCAGGAAAACAGGUGGUGCAUGGUUGUCGUCAGCUCGUGUCGUGAGAUGUUAGGUUAAGUCCUAAAACGAGCGCAACCCUUGUCGUUAAUUGCCAGCAUGUAAUGAUGGGGACUUUAACGAGACUGCCAAUGAAAAAUUGGAGGAAGGUGGGGAUUACGUCAAAUCAUCAUGCCCCUUAUGAUCUGGGCUACAAACGUGAUACAAUGGUUGAUACAAAGAGUAGCUGAAACGCGAGUUCUUAACCAAUCUCAAAAAAUCAAUCUCAGUUCGGAUUGAAGUCUGCAACUCGACUUCAUGAAGUUGGAAUCGCUAGUAAUCGCGAAUCAGC
This 705-nucleotide ribosomal RNA is filed under the name Candidatus Phytoplasma pruni. Its description in RNAcentral is "bacterial SSU rRNA". It matches the Rfam family "Bacterial small subunit ribosomal RNA", at positions 640 to 1353 of the family's 1533-position model. Lineage: Bacteria; Bacillati; Mycoplasmatota; Mollicutes; Acholeplasmatales; Acholeplasmataceae. The record is from RNAcentral.